Molecule: long non-coding RNA, 2398 nt
Organism: Papaver somniferum (opium poppy)
Lineage: Eukaryota; Viridiplantae; Streptophyta; Magnoliopsida; Ranunculales; Papaveraceae
Exons: 10
Source: RefSeq, a predicted model, not a curated record
AAAUUUGUUAGGAAAUCGAUUGUUAGGAAAACAUAGAUUUGGUGUAGUGAAAUUUUAUAAAUCAAAUAACCCUCAUAUAUGUCUAUGUAUUUGUUGUUGCCGCAAUCAGAAACCCUAACUCUCUGUAAAUAUCUGUAAAAACAGUAAAAUCCUUCAUGGUCGACCAACAUCCCCUUUUGUUCAUCAAUAACUUCCAAAACCCAAUCUUCGAUUUUUUCCAUCGCAAUCAGAAACCCUAACUCUCUAUUUCGAAAUAUCUUUUAAGAGGUUAAACAAUCGAAGAUGUGGACAAAGUAUGAUAUAGGUGUGAAUACUUUCUCACCUGAGGGGAGAUGUUUUCUGGUUGAGUAUGCGAUUGAAGCUAUUAAGCUUGGGUCAACUGAAAUUGAGAGCGUAUCACUUCACAGUUGAUGAUAUUACACAGACCCGUCUGGCACAUUUUUGAUGCAAAUGCAAUCGGAUCAGGUUCUGAGGGAGCAGACAGCUCUGCAAGAGCAAUUCAACAAGAUCUUCGGAACCAAUAAUUGGUGAAGUAGGCUUGUGGGUUCAAAGGUCUUGUAGAUGGUGGCAGUAGUUUACUACCUUCAGGACAAACAUUUUCUUAGGGAUGAUCUACAAUACACUGGGGCUGGACUUUGAAUUUUGCUUCAGUCGAGCUGCUAAUAUAGGUAGUUUAGAUUUGAAGCAAGUAGAGAGACAAACACAGGUUUAAGAGGAGGCUUCAUUGAAGAAAGUUGAAUUAGCAUCCAAGAGAGUUGCAUCUGCAUAUCUGUAACGAAAAGGAGGGAGAAGUCCAAAAAAAUUGGAAAGCGAAAAGUUUUGCAAGGUUAUGAGCAUACUGCUGUGGUCGCUUUGGCCUCAUGUCAUGCUUGGUUUUGUUUUUCCUUCAUUUUUCACAUUUCAUCAGAACUUGGGUUAACUAACAUCUCAACGAUUUAUCUUUGUGCAGUCUGCAAAGUGAUCCAUACUAUUGGUCUGGUCUGCAUGACUGUACAUCCUCUUGCUCAAAUGUAGUUGUAGUACAUAGUCAAAUUAUGGGGUUGAUGCUCAAACUGAUUUUGUAAUUGAUUGCGUUAGGCCUUGGAUUGUAAUUGUUGAAAAUGCAGUUUUAGCAUAGGGAUGAUAGUGAAAGAUGAUUUAUGUCCCUUCUUCUUAAAUAUUGCUCUAUUUAAGUGUUAUACGCAUGGGUAACAAACUAAUCUGCCUAAAUGUAGGAUUCAUCUGGUGUAUGGUUCCGCAGCAUGCUGAUCCAAACCAGUGGCAUGCUGCAACAUAUACAAAUACAAUGGAGUUUAUGAAACCUAUGCAUAUGUUUCAGCUUCUCAAGAUCCUAACAUGUAUUCUUACCAAGGCUAUGGUGGUCCUGGAUGAUCAACAUCACCAACAACAGAUGAACUAUGACUUGUAGUCCCUAAGCAGUUGAUGUGCUGAGGAAACCUAAUGUUCGUAUUACUUCAACAAAGGCUAUUAGCACUGGAGGGGUAUGUAUAACUAUCCCAUGAGAUAUUUUCAGCUUCAGUUAGUGAAACAUUUAUUACUAAGUUUGAUAAUUUACUCUGAUUAUUUGGUACUUAUCUACUAGGUUCAUAGAUCCAGCCUUCCUCGCUUACAUUUUCUUGUUAGAUACCCUUGGACGGCAUCUCAUUCUUUCAUAUGGAGUGCAAUUAGCCGUGGGAUACUGAUUCAUAUGCAUGAAGUUUCAUAGUUUUCUUAAAAUUACUCUCAUUAUGAGCUCGAAAAUUUUGAUCUUUGCGAUCCAUUACCCUUCCUGCAACUCAAAGUAGUCUAAGGUUUAUAAUUUGGUCCAGGAUCUUAUAGGUCAUGUUUUUUUUUAUUCUUUUAUAUUUGUGUAAAAUUAAAGUACUAUAUAAUGUAUGGGAAUACCAUUUGGUGAUCUUAGGUAACUAUUGAAGUAGUAGGAAGGGAUGGGAAUCCUGAAAAUCCCACCAGUUAUUUCUCACAUGUUCUGUUUUAGGUUCAAAGGUCUUGUAACUGAUGGAAGUAGAUUACUACCUUUGGGACAAGCAGUGAGAUAAGUUUUGUUAGAAUCCAGUGUGUGCUCAGGGAUAUGUUAUACUUGACAGAUAUGGGUCCAAAGCAAAGAACCAAACACAUGUAUUUGCUAUUUGUGAGGCGGUUCCAAAGAAGAAAGUUGAUUCAGCAGCUCAGUGUAUACUAGGGUACUCAGACUUGCACUUAUGUUUAAGAAUCGUCUUUAAGAAACAUGUGAAUCUAUCAGCUAAGACUUGUACUGGUGCAAAUUCAGGAUUUUUUUUGUUUUUUUUGUUUUUUUUUCUUCUGAUUUUGAAGCCAAGUGCAGGUUUGAAAUUCUGCUAUUUGAACAUGUAUGAAUUGUACAAUGAAUAUUGGUUCUUGAAUAAAUGUCCAUUUGAAUUUA